This 497-nucleotide ribosomal RNA is filed under the name uncultured bacterium. RNAcentral's name for it is "partial 16S ribosomal RNA". It matches the Rfam family "Bacterial small subunit ribosomal RNA", at positions 28 to 507 of the family's 1533-position model. The record is from RNAcentral.
GAUGAUCGCUGGCGGCGUGCCUAAUACAUGCAAGUCGAGCGAACAGACGAGGAGCUUGCUCCUCUGACGUUAUCGGCGGACGUGUGAGUAAAACGUGGAUAACCUACCUAUAAGACUGGGAUAACUUCGGGAAACCGGAGCUAAUACCGUAUAAUAUAUUGAACCGCAUGGUUCAAUAGUGAAAGUCGAUUUUGCAGUCUCUGAUAGAUGGAUCCGCUCCUCAUUAUCUAGUUGUUAAGGUAACGGCUUACCAAGUAAACGACGCGUAGCCGACCUUAGAGGGUGAUCGGCCAAACUGGAAAUGAGACACGGUCCAGCCUCCUACGGGAGGCGGCAGUAGGGAAUCUUCCGCCAUGGGCGAAAGCCUGACGGAGCAACGCCGAGUGAGUGAUGAUGGUCUUAGGAUCGUAAAAAUCUGUUAUUAGGGAAGAACAAAUGUGUAAGUAAGUAUGCACGUCUUGAAGGUAACUAAUAAGACAGCCAGGGCUAGCUACGUG